RNAcentral lists this transfer RNA (77 nucleotides) under Raineyella fluvialis. Its description in RNAcentral is "tRNA-Met". It matches the Rfam family "tRNA". From Rfam's summary of the family: Transfer RNA (tRNA) molecules are approximately 80 nucleotides in length. Their secondary structure includes four short double-helical elements and three loops (D, anti-codon, and T loops). RNAcentral also lists the same sequence under 1 other name. The record is from RNAcentral. Lineage: Bacteria; Bacillati; Actinomycetota; Actinomycetes; Propionibacteriales; Propionibacteriaceae.
CGCGGGGUGGAGCAGCUCGGUAGCUCGCUGGGCUCAUAACCCAGAGGUCGCAGGUUCAAAUCCUGUCCCCGCCACCA